AGAGUUUGAUCNUGGCUCAGAUUGAACGCUGGCGGUAGGCUUAACACAUGCAAGUCGAGCGGAAACGAAGAAAAGCUUGCUUUUCAGGCGUCGAGCGGCGGACGGGUGAGUAACGCGUAGGAAUCUGCCUAGUAGUGGGGGACAACCUGUGGAAACGCAGGCUAAUACCGCAUAAUCCCUGAGGGGGAAAGGAGGGGAUCUUCGGACCUUUCGCUAUUAGAUGAGCCUGCGUGAGAUUAGCUAGUUGGUGAGGUAAAGGCUCACCAAGGCGACGAUCUCUAGCUGGUCUGAGAGGAUGAUCAGCCACACUGGGACUGAGACACGGCCCAGACUCCUACGGGAGGCAGCAGUGGGGAAUAUUGGACAAUGGGCGCAAGCCUGAUCCAGCCAUACCGCGUGUGUGAAGAAGGCCUUAGGGUUGUAAAGCACUUUCAGAAGGGAGGAAAGGUUAAUGUUUAAUACGCAUUAGCUGNGACGU
This 478-nucleotide ribosomal RNA is filed under the name uncultured Alteromonas sp. RNAcentral's name for it is "bacterial SSU rRNA". It matches the Rfam family "Bacterial small subunit ribosomal RNA", at positions 8 to 475 of the family's 1533-position model. Lineage: Bacteria; Pseudomonadati; Pseudomonadota; Gammaproteobacteria; Alteromonadales; Alteromonadaceae. The record is from RNAcentral.